UUUAUUCUCAGUAUUUUCUUUUAAGAUAUAAAUGAGACAUCUGGUUGGCGCACAUGUAAUUUUAAAAUAGUUUAUACUGAAGUGUCUACCUGGCCUCCCUGCUUUCCCCACCCCUUCCUCACUGCAUUCCAUCCACUACAUCACUGGCAAAGUUAUCCUUUGAAAAGAAUAAUUGAUCCUGACAAAAGUCAAACAUGAUUGUCGGGAAGUAUCCCAGUUGAACCAAAACAAAUGUAAUGGAAAAAGAAUGGAAGAUGCUUCAAAAUGUCAGAAAUGCUUAUUAUCCCACAGUAAAAAUUUUGAUUCCUAAAUCAUGAAGAUAAGUAAAAGAAUCUGGAUAUUUGAGAAAAUUUGGAAAAUGAAAAUGCAACAACAUGGGAAAUUAUGAAAAUUGUGAAAAUCAGUAAAUUUUUAUAUACUAAGUAAAAACAUGGAUUUGAGAAAUAGUGAAAAAAUAUAUACAAUUUGUAUAAACAAACUGGUUAAUGAGUUUUGUCAACAUAAGGAGCAUUUAAGAUUGGACUUGAACAAGAAAAUGUGACCUGCUAUGAAAUUACACAGCUUGUAUAUAAAAUCAGAAGCUGGAUGGAGGUUUAGUCAAUUUU
This is a non-coding RNA of Microcebus murinus (gray mouse lemur), 605 nucleotides long. The record is from RefSeq and is a predicted model, not a curated record. NCBI's taxonomy places the organism in Eukaryota, Metazoa, Chordata, Mammalia, Primates, Cheirogaleidae.